This 777-nucleotide ribosomal RNA is filed under the name Triticum aestivum (bread wheat). RNAcentral describes it as "partial small subunit ribosomal RNA". The record is from RNAcentral. Lineage: Eukaryota; Viridiplantae; Streptophyta; Magnoliopsida; Poales; Poaceae.
AUGAGGCUGCGGCCGGGCCUCAACUACAACUUCACCGUCUUGGAGCUGGAUGCAAUGCUCCUGGAGUUGUUCAAACGCGACCCCCAGCACCCAUUCACGCUGCCGAGGGGCGUCGUUCCAUUGUGCAACAAUUCUUCGCUUGACCGGAUCCGCGCCAUGAUGUCGUUGUGCGAUUCACACGGAAUCGUUCCAACUUGGCAAGAGCCUGCGGAUGACGUCAUGCAAGCGUUCUUCGACAACUUGGAAGAAGUGCCGGUCCACGCUGACGAGCAGAAGAGCCUCACCCGUGACACCACCGACGAGGAGUUGCAGUGCAUCGCCACUAGGGCGGAAGAGGUUGUGGCCACAGCUGCCGCGGGCGCGUUCGGGUUCACUGUGGAGGAGGCGGAGGCUGCAGAGGCGGCAAACCUCGCCGAGCGCGCGGAGUUCAUUGGCGAGGAAGAGCCUGCCGGUUCUGAGGCUGAGCCGAGCGAGGCCGGCGAGGAAGAGCCCGAGCCUUCAGAAAGCUUGCCGCAGGCGGAACCCCCGGCCCCGCCAAGAAGGCGUCUUCGCAGGGCCGCGGACGUAGCGGGGCGGCAGCCGGGUCAACAGCCGCCAAGCCGUGCGACACGCUCUAUCGCGGCAAGCAAUGUUGCCGCGGGAGCGCCCCACGCAGCAACGGCAACUGGAGCGCCCGCCAAGCGGGCAAGGGAUCCUACUCCUCCGCCUCGCUGCACCGGAAGGGAGCCGGACUUCGAUCUUUCCGCGCUCAGCUCCGAUGAGGAGGAAGAAGAGUAA